RNAcentral lists this unclassified non-coding RNA (500 nucleotides) under uncultured Glomus. Its description in RNAcentral is "SSU rRNA". It matches the Rfam family "Eukaryotic small subunit ribosomal RNA", at positions 591 to 1092 of the family's 1831-position model. The record is from RNAcentral. Lineage: Eukaryota; Fungi; Glomeromycota; Glomeromycetes; Glomerales; Glomeraceae.
CCAAUAGCGUAUAUUAAAGUUGUUGCAGUUAAAAAGCUCGUAGUUGAAUUUCGGGAUCAGUAGGUCGGUCGUGCCACUGGUAUGAACUGGUCUCACUGGUUCCUCCCUCUUGACGAACUGCAAUGCUAUUAAUUUAGUGUUGUAGGAAAUCAGGACUGUUACUUUGAAAAAAUUAGAGUGUUUAAAGCAGGCUUUGGCUUGAAUACAUUAGCAUGGAAUAAUGAAAUAGGACGUUCGAUCCUAUUUUGUUGGCUUCUAGGAUUGACGUAAUGAUUAAUAGGGACAGUUGGGGGCAUUAGUAUUCAAUUGUCAGAGGUGAAAUUCUUGGAUUUAUUGAAGACUAACUACUGCGAAAGCAUUUGCCAAGGAUGUUUUCAUUAAUCAAGAACGAAAGUUAGGGGAUCGAAGACGAUCAGAUACCGUCGUAGUCUUAACCAUAAACUAAGCCGACUAGGGAUCGGAUGAUGUUAAUUUUUUAAUGACUCAUUCGGCGCCUUACG